RNAcentral lists this ribosomal RNA (437 nucleotides) under Pseudogonaxis rendille. RNAcentral describes it as "partial 16S ribosomal RNA". It matches the Rfam family "Bacterial large subunit ribosomal RNA", at positions 1829 to 2596 of the family's 2925-position model. Lineage: Eukaryota; Metazoa; Mollusca; Gastropoda; Stylommatophora; Streptaxidae. The record is from RNAcentral.
AGUCUUAUGAUAUUUUAUAUAAGAUUGCUUCUGCCCAGUGAAUUAUAUUUUAACGGCCGCAGUACUCUGACUGUGCUAAGGUAGCAUAAUAAAUUGAUUUUUAAUUGAAAUCUUGAAUGAACGGAAUAUUGAGGGAGAGUCUGUCUUUACAAAUAUUUAUCUAACUUGCUUAUAAAGUGAAAAUACUUUAAAAAAAGACAAAAGACGAGAAGACCCUUAGAAUUUUUAAAAUAAUAAUUAUUAUUUGUUGAUUUUUGUUGGGGUGACAAAGUAACAUAUUGGAACUUACUUCUAAGACAAACCAAUUUUUGUUUUUUUGAAAAAAUUACCUAAGGGAUAACAGCAUAAUUCUUUUUAGAGAUUGUGACCUCGAUGUUGGACUAGGGACCUAAUAGUUAGUAACUAAAAUGGAUAGUUCUGUUCGAACUUUUUACCCU